RNAcentral lists this ribosomal RNA (429 nucleotides) under Bacteroidota bacterium. Its description in RNAcentral is "Bacteroidetes bacterium partial 16S ribosomal RNA". It matches the Rfam family "Bacterial small subunit ribosomal RNA", at positions 355 to 776 of the family's 1533-position model. The record is from RNAcentral. Lineage: Bacteria; Pseudomonadati; Bacteroidota.
UAGGGAAUCUUCCGCAAUGGACGCAAGUCUGACGGAGCAACGCCGCGUGAGUGAAGAAGGAUUUCGGUUCGUAAAACUCUGUUGUUAGAGAAGAACAGCGCAUAGAGUAACUGUUAUGCGUGUGACGGUAUCUAACCAGAAAGCCACGGCUAACUACGUGCCAGCAGCCGCGGUAAUACGUAGGUGGCAAGCGUUGUCCGGAUUUAUUGGGCGUAAAGCGAGCGCAGGCGGUCAAUUAAGUCUGAUAUGAAAGCCCCCGGCUCAACCGGGGAGGGUCGUUGGAAACUGGUUGACUUGAGUGCAGAGGAGGAGGGUGGAAUUCCAUGUGUAGCGGUGAAAUGCGUAGAUAUAUGGAGGAACACCAGUGGCGAAGGCGACUCUCUGGUCUGUAACUGACGCUGGGGCUCGAAAGCGUGGGUAGCAAACAGG